CAUUUGUUUGUUUUGUCUAUGAUUUCUUUCAGCAGUGUUUUGCAGUUUUCUUUGCAGAGGUCUUUCACCUCCUUGCUUAAGUGUACCUUAAAGUAAUAAAAGCCACCUAUGACAAACCCACAGCCAACAUUAAUACUGAUGGGGAAGAGUUAAAGGUAUUCCCCCUGAGAAGUGGAACAAGACAAGGAUGCCCACUUUCACCACUUCAGUUCAUCAUGCUACUGGAAGUCCUAGCCAGAGCAAUCAGACAAGAGAAAGAAAUAAACGGCAUCCAAAUUGGUAAAGAGGAAGUCAAACUGUCACUGUUUGGUGAUGACAUGAUCAUAUACCUAGAAAACCCUACAGACUCAUCCAAAAAGCUCCCAGAACUGGUAAAUGAGUUCAGCAAAGUACCAAGAUACAAAAUGAAUGUACACAAAGCAGUAACCCUGCUAUACACCAACAGCGACCAAGCUGAGAAUUAAAUCAAUAACUCAACCCCUUUUGCAACAGCUGAAAAAAAAACCUUUGGUUUUUCUAUUUUUAAUCUGACUCAAUCCAAUUUG
RNAcentral lists this long non-coding RNA (545 nucleotides) under Homo sapiens (human). Its description in RNAcentral is "non-protein coding lnc-WIF1-5:1". The record is from RNAcentral. Lineage: Eukaryota; Metazoa; Chordata; Mammalia; Primates; Hominidae.